UGGGGAAUUUUGGACAAUGGGCGAAAGCCUGAUCUAGCAAUGCCGCGUGUGUGAAGAAGGCCUUCGGGUUGUAAAGCACUUUUGUCCGGAAAGAAAUCCUUGGCUCUAAUACAGUCGGGGGAUGACGGUACCGGAAGAAUAAGCACCGGCUAACUACGUGCCAGCAGCCGCGGUAAUACGUAGGGUGCAAGCGUUAAUCGGAAUUACUGGGCGUAAAGCGUGCGCAGGCGGUUUGCUAAGACCGAUGUGAAAUCCCCGGGCUCAACCUGGGAACUGCAUUGGUGACUGGCAGGCUAGAGUAUGGCAGAGGGGGGUAGAAUUCCACGUGUAGCAGUGAAAUGCGUAGAGAUGUGGAGGAAUACCGAUGGCGAAGGCAGCCCCCUGGGCCAAUACUGACGCUCAUGCACGAAAGCGUGGGGAGCAAACAGGAUUAGAUACCCUGGUAGUCCACGCCCUAAACGAUGUCAACUAGUUGUUGGGGAUUCAUUUCCUUAGUAACGUAGCUAACGCGUGAAGUUGACCGCCUGGGGAGUACGGUCGCAAGAUUAAAACUCAAAGGAAUUGACGGGGUCAUAGCUGUUUCCU
This 585-nucleotide ribosomal RNA is filed under the name uncultured bacterium. RNAcentral's name for it is "partial 16S ribosomal RNA". It matches the Rfam family "Bacterial small subunit ribosomal RNA", at positions 355 to 1375 of the family's 1533-position model. The record is from RNAcentral.